This 88-nucleotide transfer RNA is filed under the name Desulfuromonas sp. Its description in RNAcentral is "tRNA-Ser". It matches the Rfam family "tRNA". Rfam says of the family: Transfer RNA (tRNA) molecules are approximately 80 nucleotides in length. Their secondary structure includes four short double-helical elements and three loops (D, anti-codon, and T loops). Lineage: Bacteria; Pseudomonadati; Thermodesulfobacteriota; Desulfuromonadia; Desulfuromonadales; Desulfuromonadaceae. RNAcentral also lists the same sequence under 11 other names. The record is from RNAcentral.
GGAGAGGUGACCGAGAGGCCGAUGGUGCUCGCCUGGAAAGCGGGUGUAGUGAAAGCUACCGGGGGUUCGAAUCCCCCCCUCUCCGCCA